GACGUAGGGAGCAAGCGUUGUCCGGAAUUACUGGGCGUAAAGAGCUCGUAGGCGGGAGCGUGCGUCUGAAAGGAAAUCUCAGGGCUCAACUCUGGGGCUUUUUCAGAUACGGCGCUUCUUGAGUGUAACAGAGGAAAGCAGAAUUCCCGGUGUAGCGGUGAAAUGCGUAGAUAUCGGGAGGAAUACCAGUGGCGAAGGCGGCUUUCUGGGACGGUACUGACGCUGAGACGCGAAAGCGUGGGGAGCGAACAGG
This 253-nucleotide ribosomal RNA is filed under the name uncultured bacterium. Its description in RNAcentral is "partial 16S ribosomal RNA". It matches the Rfam family "Bacterial small subunit ribosomal RNA", at positions 524 to 776 of the family's 1533-position model. The record is from RNAcentral.